This 506-nucleotide ribosomal RNA is filed under the name uncultured bacterium. RNAcentral describes it as "partial 16S ribosomal RNA". It matches the Rfam family "Bacterial small subunit ribosomal RNA", at positions 29 to 523 of the family's 1533-position model. The record is from RNAcentral.
AGUGAACGCUGGCGGUAGGCCUAACACAUGCAAGUCGAACGGCAGCACAGGAGAGCUUGCUCUCUGGGUGGCGAGUGGCGGACGGGUGAGGAAUACAUCGGAAUCUACUCUGUCGUGGGGGAUAACGUAGGGAAACUUACGCUAAUACCGCAUACGACCUACGGGUGAAAGCAGGGGACCUUCGGGCCUUGCGCGAUUGAAUGAGCCGAUGUCGGAUUAGCUAGUUGGCGGAGUAAAGGCCCACCAAGGCGACGAUCCGUAGCUGGUCUGAGAGGAUGAUCAGCCACACUGGAACUGCGAAACGGUCCAGACUCCGACGGGAGGCAGCAGUGGGGAAUAUUGGACAAUGGGCGCAAGCCUGAUCCAGCCAUACCGCGUGGGUGAAGAAGGCCUUCGGGUUGUAAAGCCCUUUUGUUGGGAAAGAAAUCCAGCUGGCUAAUACCCGGUUGGGAUGACAGUACCCAAAGAAUAAGCACCGGCUAACUUCGUGCCAGCAGCCGCGGUAA